CCUCCAUGGGCGGAUUAGUGGCGAACGGGUGAGUAAUACGUGAGUAACCUGCCCUUGACUCUGGGAUAAGCCUGGGAAACUGGGUCUAAUACUGGAUACUACCGUCCACCGCAUGGUGGGUGGUGGAAAGGGUUCUACUGGUUUUGGAUGGGCUCACGGCCUAUCAGCUUGUUGGUGGGGUAAUGGCUCACCAAGGCGACGACGGGUAGCCGGCCUGAGAGGGUGACCGGCCACACUGGGACUGAGACACGGCCCAGACUCCUACGGGAGGCAGCAGUGGGGAAUAUUGCACAAUGGGCGGAAGCCUGAUGCAGCGACGCCGCGUGAGGGAUGACGGCCUUCGGGUUGUAAACCUCUUUCAGUAGGGAAGAAGCGAGAGUGACGGUACCUGCAGAAGAAGCGCCGGCUAACUACGUGCCAGCAGCCGCGGUAAUACGUAGGGCGCAAGCGUUGUCCGGAAUUAUUGGGCGUAAAGAGCUCGUAGGCGGUUUGUCGCGUCUGCUGUGAAAGCCCGGGGCUCAACCCCGGGUCUGCAGUGGGUACGGGCAGACUAGAGUGCAGUAGGGGAGACUGGAAUUCCUGGUGUAGCGGUGAAAUGCGCAGAUAUCAGGAGGAACACCGAUGGCGAAGGCAGGUCUCUGGGCUGUUACUGACGCUGAGGAGCGAAAGCAUGGGGAGCGAACAGGAUUAGAUACCCUGGUAGUCCAUGCCGUAAACGUUGGGCACUAGGUGUGGGGGACAUUCCACGUUUUCCGCGCCGUAGCUAACGCAUUAAGUGCCCCGCCUGGGGAGUACGGCCGCAAGGCUAAAACUCAAAGGAAUUGACGGGGG
RNAcentral lists this ribosomal RNA (831 nucleotides) under Kocuria sp. 73NP24. RNAcentral describes it as "bacterial SSU rRNA". It matches the Rfam family "Bacterial small subunit ribosomal RNA", at positions 76 to 919 of the family's 1533-position model. Lineage: Bacteria; Bacillati; Actinomycetota; Actinomycetes; Micrococcales; Micrococcaceae. The record is from RNAcentral.